UGCCAGCAGCCGCGGUAACACGUAGGGUGCAAGCGUUGUCCGGAUUUAUUGGGUUUAAAGGGUGCGCAGGCGGUAGAUUAAGUUCGUGGUGAAAUCGUCCCGCUUAACGGGAUACCCGCCAUGGAUACUGGUUUACUUGAGUGUGUCUGAGGGAGUUAGAAUGCGUGGUGUAGCGGUGAAAUGCAUAGAUAUCACGCAGAAUACCAAUUGCGAAGGCAGACUUCUAAGACAUAACUGACGCUGAGGCACGAAAGCGUGGGGAGCGAACAGGAUUAGAUA
This 279-nucleotide ribosomal RNA is filed under the name uncultured bacterium. RNAcentral's name for it is "partial 16S ribosomal RNA". It matches the Rfam family "Bacterial small subunit ribosomal RNA", at positions 506 to 784 of the family's 1533-position model. The record is from RNAcentral.